ACCGGCCCGUGCAGCGUGGCCUCUGUCCGAACCGGCCCUGGCGUACUUCCCCGACGCCAGGUCCGCCUCGGGCAGGGACCUCGCUGCAGGGGCGAACUACC
Non-coding RNA from Mycobacterium sp. GA-2829, 101 nucleotides. The record is from Rfam. Lineage: Bacteria; Bacillati; Actinomycetota; Actinomycetes; Mycobacteriales; Mycobacteriaceae.